Unclassified non-coding RNA from Cercocebus atys (sooty mangabey), 61 nucleotides. NCBI's taxonomy places the organism in Eukaryota, Metazoa, Chordata, Mammalia, Primates, Cercopithecidae. The record is from Ensembl.
CUCAAUAAAACUUUUCCUGGGCUGAGUAGCAAAGGGCACCUUAGGUUACCUGAAUGGACAG